Molecule: microRNA precursor, 73 nt
Filed under: Tursiops truncatus (common bottlenose dolphin)
Lineage: Eukaryota; Metazoa; Chordata; Mammalia; Artiodactyla; Delphinidae
Description: miRNA (ENSTTRG00000024304.1)
Source: RNAcentral
UGGGUUGGCCAAAAAGUUCGUUUGGCUUUUUCCAUAACAUCUCACAGAAAAACUCUAACUUUUUGGCCAACCC